RNAcentral lists this ribosomal RNA (305 nucleotides) under uncultured bacterium. RNAcentral's name for it is "bacterial SSU rRNA". It matches the Rfam family "Bacterial small subunit ribosomal RNA", at positions 338 to 634 of the family's 1533-position model. The record is from RNAcentral.
CCUACGGGGGGCAGCAGUAGGGAAUCUUCCACAAUGGACGAAAGUCUGAUGGAGCAACGCCGCGUGAGUGAAGAAGGGUUUCGGCUCGUAAAGCUCUGUUGGUAGUGAAGAAAGAUAGAGGUAGUAACUGGCCUUUAUUUGACGGUAAUUACUUAGAAAGUCACGGCUAACUACGUGCCAGCAGCCGCGGUAAUACGUAGGUGGCAGGCGUUGUUCGGAAUGACUGGGCGUAAAGGGUGUGUAGGUGGUUAGAUAAGUUAGAUGUGUAAUACCCAGGGCUUAACUCGGGUGCUGCAUCUAAAACU